GAAGGCAGGUCUCUGGGCCACUACUGACGCUGAGAAGCGAAAGCGUGGGGAGCGAACAGGAUUAGAUACCCUGGUAGUCCACGCCGUAAACGUUGGGCGCUAGGUGUGGGUCCCAUUCCACGGGGUCCGUGCCGCAGCUAACGCAUUAAGCGCCCCGCCUGGGGAGUACGGCCGCAAGGCUAAAACUCAAAGGAAUUGACGGGGGCCCGCACAAGCGGCGGAGCAUGCGGAUUAAUUCGAUGCAACGCGAAGAACCUUACCAAGGCUUGACAUGUACCGGAAACCCUCAGAGAUGGGGGCCCCGCAAGGUCGGUACACAGGUGGUGCAUGGUUGUCGUCAGCUCGUGUCGUGAGAUGUUGGGUUAAGUCCCGCAACGAGCGCAACCCUCGUUCUAUGUUGCCAGCACGUGAUGGUGGGGACUCAUAGGAGACUGCCGGGGUCAACUCGGAGGAAGGUGGGGAUGACGUCAAAUCAUCAUGCCCCUUACGUCUUGGGCUUCACGCAUGCUACAAUGGCCGGUACAGAGGGCUGCGAUACCGCGAGGUGGAGCGAAUCCCUUAAAGCCGGUCUCAGUUCGGAUUGGGGUCUGCAACUCGACCCCAUGAAGUCGGAGUCGCUAGUAAUCGCAGAUCAGCAACGCUGCGGUGAAUACGUUCCCGGGCCUUGUACACACCGCCCGUCAAGUCACGAAAGUCGGUAACACCCGAAGCCG
RNAcentral lists this ribosomal RNA (713 nucleotides) under unidentified microorganism. RNAcentral's name for it is "bacterial SSU rRNA". It matches the Rfam family "Bacterial small subunit ribosomal RNA", at positions 717 to 1429 of the family's 1533-position model. The record is from RNAcentral.